Molecule: long non-coding RNA, 2249 nt
Organism: Oncorhynchus kisutch (coho salmon)
Lineage: Eukaryota; Metazoa; Chordata; Actinopteri; Salmoniformes; Salmonidae
Exons: 2
Source: RefSeq, a predicted model, not a curated record
CUUCAAACCAAGCUGCUUACCUAUUGCAGAUUCAGUCUUCCCAGCCUGGUUCAGGUAUACAAUUUUGUUUCUGGUGUCCUUUUGACAGCUCUUUGGGUAUCAAUAACUAGGUGCUUAUUUUGAUAUCUAGUUAUGACUGAAUCAGAAAUACAGAUGUGGAGUAGAUGUCGAGUUUGUUUUAAAUUAUCAUAAAAAAUCUGAACUAAUCUAACAACACUUGUUGCUAUUUGUACUUGUUGAUAUAAUAUUCUUAUUUAAUGGAGAGGGAAAAAAAACGUUUCCCUAAACUGCUUAAUAAUAUUAUAAUUCAAUGAAGGAAUAAAAAAGUUUCCUCCCUCCAGACAGCAGAUGGCAAUAUGUGUCUUUCAGGCGAUGUUUCUAGUGUGACGCAUAAUCUAGUGGACGGAACGCUUCUUCGCAACUGCAGCCACCUCGGUAGCUCGCUAGACAACAGUCAGAACAUUCAAGUUCUUUAGACAAUUUCGUGGUUUAAUUGCCUCUAUGAUUGAAACAUACUCAUGUGGGAACAACUAGAUACCCCAUUUAAUUUAAUAUUUACGUUGUAAGUCAACUAGCUGGCUGGUUUAGUUAGCACUAGUCUAGUCGCUAAUGCUAACUAGCCAUUAUCCCCGAACAUGAGUUCACCAAGCUACUCUCCUCCUGAUAAAGAAGAGGGGGUCUGCUGGACGGAGAAAGGAACUCGUGAAAGAGGAGGCGGAAGAGGAGGCUGUUACAAUACACAAACAAGUAGAGGGUGAGGGUGUUACCGUGAAAGAAGAAGAGAAAGACGCGUUCAGAGUGAAAGAGGAGGAGGAUGUUACUGUGAAAGAAGAGGAGUAAGAUGCAGUUUUUAGAGUGGAGGAUGAAGUGAAAGAAGAUGAAGACGUUUUUGGAAUGAAGGAUGAAGAGGGUGAGAUUACUGUCACAUUAGAGGAGGACGAAGUAGAGUUGACUGGAGAACUUAUUAACACCAGUAAAUACAGAGAGAGAUGUGAAUAUCGUGGAUCCUCUGAGGAGCCUCAAAAACUUAAUGAUGCUGACGAGGCAGAAGUCUCUCUCCAGAUCAGGACACCUCGAAACACCAGCAGAGACCCACAGGAAAGAAACCACACUGCUGCUCUGACUGUGGGAAACGUUGCAAAUCUUCAUCAGAACUUAAAAAUCACCAGCGUGUACACACAGGAGAGAAACCUUAUAGCUGUAGUCAGUGUGGGAAGAGUUUUACUCAGCUAAACAGCCUGAAAGAACACCAGAGAACACACACAGGAGAGAAAUCUCAUAGCGGUGAUCAAUGUGGGAAGAGAUACUCUGGUAAAAGAUAUCUGAUCAAACAUCAGAAAAAACAUACAUGAAGGAGUUGAAUUUGAAAAAUCAUAUCAAUUACAUAAUGUCACAAUGUAGAAUGUUUUAACAUUUUAGUAGGAGUAUUUUAAUGAUGUCACAAUGUAGAACCCUAAAUGUUUGUCCUCUGUUCUAUUGGUUUCAACAUUAUAUGGAUAUUUGCCUGAGGGAAAAUCCAGGCUCUGAAUUGAAAGAGUACUAUUUAUGUUAUCUAACAAAAAGUGACAAACAAAAAAAUAGUUGUGUUAAACUUAUCACGUUGGUGACCCACUUGAAUCAAAAUGCAACACUUCAAAAUGUAGCUAGCUGUUUUCUACAAAUUGUCCUCUAACCAAUGAUGUACACAUUAUUCCCAGAUUCCGUGUGGUUUUUGAGCUGUUAGUUUUAACAGGACGUGCAAACUCAUUUCCCUUCUGUCACACAAAUGAUUUUAGCAUGAUAUCGAUGAGUUAUGACAAAUAAGUGUUGUGUUCCUUUGUUCAACGUCCCCUACAUUUAAAUGUAUCACGCCCAAAUGCAGCUGACUGUCCUCUGCAGGUUGUCCUCUAACCAGUGAGGGAAAAUAUUUAUCCCGUUUCCAUGUUUUGUUUAGAUUGUUAGUUUCAACAGCACGUACAACCCGAUUUCCCCCCUAAUCAAUAUCAGUGAUUUAUUGCUACUUGUCAACAACAGUGUUUUUGGUGCUUGUACAGUUUAUACGGUGCUUGUUUAAAAAAAAAAAUACAAGUAAUAUGAAUAUUGUGGCAGAUGUUUGUGUAUACAGUAUGGCCCAUUUUACGUUUAGGUUUUCAAUAUAUCACAAACUGUUUCUGCAUAUUGGUUGUUGAUUUGUACAUGUUAAAAUUGUGUGUUGACAUUGGGUUAUCCCACCUAGCAAAAUGUAAUUAAAAAAUACUUUGAAAAAAGGA